UGUCCGACCUGUUCAGUUCGGAGAGGGACACACCACUCCAGAGGAAUUUCCCCCGUGUCUCGUGUCCUUUGUUCCGCUGGGUUCCCUGGGGGGUGAGCGAACCUGAGAGGAGGCCGAGAAAGAGGAGAGAGAGAGGCGGACGCAGAGAUGUCGGAGCCGGCCACAAAUCCCGCUGCCACCUCUUUCUCAGCGCCCACGAUUUCGUUGCCUUUGGGCCUGGAAGUGUUGAGGACUUAUUCUGGAGCUCUUUUCUGCUUUGAAAUAUUUUUUGGUGGUUUAGUAUGGAUCCUGGUGGCUUCCUCCAAUGUGCCAGUCCCUCUGCUGCAAGGCUGGGUGAUGUUUGUGUCUGUCACCGCCUUCCUCCUCUCCUCUGCCUACCUCCUCCUCCUCAUCACCGGCCUGGCUGACCGCAUCAGUAUUGACUGGAACUUUUUGGAUGUUUUUUACCAUUUUAUAGCUUUGCUUUUCUAUUUUGCCGCCUUCGUGCUGGAGGCGGCGACCACGGCAGCCAACGGAGGAGCCAUCAUCACGCCCCUGCCAAACAGCACCGCAACUGUAAUGUGUAUACACUACCCUCGGGGAAAUGUAUUCACUGUGCUGACUGGCAACCAGUACAAUAUUAAUGUCGUGGCAACGCUCACCCGUGAUGAAUGAGGUCAAACGGUGUCCAAGAGAGAGAUGGAGAGAUGGAUGGUUUCAUGGAUUUCUGACAAGUUUGGCUGCCCACCAGUCCACUGGGCUCUGAAUCAAAUGCUCAUCAGACAUUUGCAUAUUUGCGUUUGUGGUGACGCUUUGCUACGGCUGGAGUUUGGUGAUGGCCUUCAAGAGAUGGCGAAUCUAACUUGAAACUCCAAAUGAUUUCUCACCUGUUUUCCACCAACGUGAAACAUUCACAAUAGCAUCAUAGAGCACGCUGCUGUUCAGUGUGGAAUUGGAAUGCCCAGUUUGUGAUUUGUGUGCGUGUGUGUGUGCGCGUGUGUGUGUGGACUUUAUUCAUUACGGAAUGACCAAGGACCUUUCUGAGGUCUUAACUUCUCAAACAUGUUGAGUAGAGUAGUGAGGGGAAGAGACAAAAACAUAAUAAGAAUGACUCAUGUAGUAUGGCAUGUGAGUGAGUACUGUUGGUCACACUUACGCAACUGGCUUUUUAUUCACAUCAACACUGUAACUUCCUUUUUCUACAGGAUUCACAUCCUCACUGUAGGGAAUAUUUCCCAAUUCCAAAACUGCUACUUCUCACCGAGUGUGCUGCUUUUGUUUCAUGAACAACAGAAGCUUCAUAUGCUUGCACAUUUUCUUGGAAAGGCCUUUGUGAAAUUCAAUUCUCAUUCAACAUGAUGUGUUAAUGAAUUUUUCUAUAUUGAUAGGGUAUUUGAAAUUCUAAAAGUUCAUUUUGUUAGAUGACAUCACGGUGUAUUCUUAACAUACAAACCUACCAUAGUUGACGUUUUAAAGAAUUUUAAAAUAACCUACACUGUUAUCUUUAUGCCCUGCGAUUGGCUGCCGACCAGUUCAGGGUGUAGCCCGCCUCUCGCCCGAAGAUGGCUGGCAUAGGCUCCAGCACGCCCGCGACCCUUGUGAGGAUAAAGCGGUACGGGAAAUGAAUGGAUGGAUGGAUGGAUGUUAUCUUUAUAUGUAUUAAUAGUUAAUUAGAUGACAUCAUUGUGUAUCUUCUCCUUAACGUUUAGGAUUGAACACUCAAACGUUUUAAAGAAUUUUAACAUUACAGAAACCUACACUGUUAUUUCUAAGCAUAUUAAAAGUCAAUUCACAUUAAGAAUAAAUAAUGUUCAUAAAUAUUCACUCAAUCAGUCUUGCUUGCUGUGGCACUGUAUUAUUAUCAGUUAGAUUAAGUGUGGCCUAUCACAGUUUAUAUUAUGAUAGUAAAUUAUUACUCAUUUCAAAUAGAUUGAUUGCUUUUGAUUGUCUUUGUUACCAUUUUAGUACAUUUAAAAAAAUACAUAAUACAUAUUUUAAGGUGACUGUUUAAUAAAACACCUAAAACAAA
Molecule: RNA transcript, 2008 nt
Organism: Phyllopteryx taeniolatus (common seadragon)
Lineage: Eukaryota; Metazoa; Chordata; Actinopteri; Syngnathiformes; Syngnathidae
Gene: mal2
Gene name: mal, T cell differentiation protein 2
Exons: 5
Source: RefSeq, a predicted model, not a curated record